RNAcentral lists this ribosomal RNA (644 nucleotides) under uncultured fungus. RNAcentral describes it as "eukaryotic LSU rRNA". It matches the Rfam family "Eukaryotic large subunit ribosomal RNA", at positions 24 to 664 of the family's 3401-position model. Lineage: Eukaryota; Fungi. The record is from RNAcentral.
CCCGCUGAACUUAAGCAUAUCAAUAAGCGGAGGAAAAGAAACUAACAAGGAUUCCCCUAGUAACUGCGAGUGAAGCGGGAAAAGCUCAAAUUUAAAAUCUGGUGGCCUUUGGCCAUCCGAGUUGUAAUUUAGAGAAGCGUCUUCCGCGCUGGACCGUGCACAAGUCUCCUGGAAUGGAGCGUCGUAGAGGGUGAGAAUCCCGUCUUUGGCACGGACGCCCAGUGCUUCUGUGAUGCGCUCUCGAAGAGUCGAGUUGUUUGGGAAUGCAGCUCAAAAUGGGUGGUGAACUCCAUCUAAAGCUAAAUAUUGGCGAGAGACCGAUAGCGAACAAGUACCGUGAGGGAAAGAUGAAAAGCACUUUGGAAAGAGAGUUAAACAGUAUGUGAAAUUGCUGAAAGGGAAACGCUUGAUGUCAGUCACGUUGGCUAGGGAUCAACCUUGCUUCUCGCUGGGUGUAUUUCCUAGUGGACGGGUCAGCAUCAGUUUCGGUCGCUGUACAAGGGCAAAGGGAACGAGGCACUCCUUGGAGUGUGUUAUAGCCUUUCGUCGUAUGCAGUGGUUGGGACUGAGGAACUCGGCACGAAAUCUAUUUUGUGCUUAGGAUGCUGGCAUAAUGGCCUUAAGCGACCCGUCUUGAAACACGG